This 545-nucleotide ribosomal RNA is filed under the name uncultured bacterium Oim31. Its description in RNAcentral is "partial 16S ribosomal RNA". The record is from RNAcentral.
CCUGCGUGCGCUUUACGCCCAGUAAAUCCGGAUAACGCUCGCCACCUACGCCUGCGUGCGCUUUACGCCCAGUAAUUCCGAUUAACGCUCGCACCCUCCGUAUUACCGCGGCUGCUGGCACGGAGUUAGCCGGUGCUUCUUCUGUCGCUAACGUCAAAGAAUACCGCUAUUAACGAUACCCCCUUCCUCACRGACUGAAAGUACUUUACAACCCGAAGCCUUCUUCAUAACACGCGGCAUGGCUGCAUCAGGCUUGCGCCCAUUGUGCAAUAUUCCCCACUGCUGCCUCCCGUAGGAGUCUGGACCGUGUMUCAGUUCCAGUGUGGCUGAUCAUCUUCUCAGACCAGCUAGGGAUCGUCGCCUUGGUGAGCCAUUACCUCACCAACUAGCUAAUCCCACCUGGGCAUAUCCUGACGCGAGAGGCCCGAAGGUCCCCCUCUUUGGCCCGUAGGCAUCAUGCGGUAUUAGCCAUCGUUUCCAAUGGUUAUCCCCCACAUCAGGGCAAUUUCCCAGGCAUUACUCACCCGUCCCGCCGCUCACGCCGC